Molecule: ribosomal RNA, 426 nt
Filed under: uncultured bacterium
Lineage: Bacteria
Description: bacterial SSU rRNA
Rfam family: Bacterial small subunit ribosomal RNA
Source: RNAcentral
UGGGGAAUUGUUCGCAAUGGGCGGAAGCCUGACGCAGCAACGCCGCGUGGGGGAUGAAGGUCUUCGGAUUGUAAACCCCUGUUGGGUGGGAAGAAAACCUUCGUGGUGAACAUCCACGGAGGCUGACGGUACCACCCGAGGAAGCCCCGGCUAACUCUGUGCCAGCAGCCGCGGUAAUACAGAGGGGGCAAGCGUUGUUCGGAAUUACUGGGCGUAAAGGGCGCGUAGGCGGCCUGUUAAGUCGGACGUGAAAUCCCUCGGCUCAACCGGGGAACUGCGUCCGAUACUGGCGGGCUUGAGUUCGGGAGAGGGAUGUGGAAUUCCAGGUGUAGCGGUGAAAUGCGUAGAUAUCUGGAGGAACACCGGUGGCGAAGGCGGCAUCCUGGACCGACACUGACGCUGAGGCGCGAAAGCCAGGGGAGCAAA